Molecule: long non-coding RNA, 3304 nt
Organism: Labeo rohita (rohu)
Lineage: Eukaryota; Metazoa; Chordata; Actinopteri; Cypriniformes; Cyprinidae
Exons: 2
Source: RefSeq, a predicted model, not a curated record
GUAAGUUAAUCACGUUUUGAUUCUUGAUCUUUCAUGUGGGUGACAACGGAAAUCAACAGAUGCUUCAGUCCAGUCUGGCCACUCAUACUGUCUGUCAUUAUGAAGAGAUCAUCGUCACAGACAGCUACGUUUUGGGCCUUCCUGUAUUUGGUGAACACGACCCCUAUGAUCCUCAAAUGUGCACGUAACCAUAUUAAUGACUCAAAAACAGGAUUGACAGCCAGAUUCUGUAUGAAUGUACAGCAUUUGGAAAGAUAUAUAGUAGUUAUCGCCUCAUCUACAGCCACUGGUGCUUGGACCUCAAUGACGAUAUUGAAUUGUUGUCCGAUCAAGUUUCCUUUGCACAGAGUUUGGUCUUCUAAUCUAAUUUUUCUACUAAUUUUCUACUAUUCCUCACUAUGAUGUUUGUAGCAGGCCUAUAUGAUGGCAGAUACAUGCAUCUGUACACUAUGUAUGCAAUAACAUUGUCGCUGCAGCCUGUAGCGCGAUGACGUAGCUGGAUCAGGUCCAAUACGUACUGGACGUUGUUACGCGCAUGCGCGGUGGUUUGUAUUGGCGACGUCAUAGACACAUGCACAGUAGCGAUCUCUGAAUAUAAUACGCAUGUGCUGGUUUAAAGGGACACGCUCGCUCAAUAUUGUAUUGUGAUGACAUUCUAAUCUGUGUAUUAGUAGUGAUGAAUAUUAAUAAGUAAUUAUUAAUGGAUAAUAUUUACACAAAUCUGAUGCUUAAAUUGUGAUGCUUUCUACACCGAUGCAAAAUGUUGAAACUAUAAAGUUUUAAAUUGCGUAACUUUAGAGCUUUUAAACUUAAAUUUAAUGGAUUAAAAGCAUAAUAUCUUUGUCAAGUAUUAUUUUCAGCGAGCGUAUAUACAACAUUAAAAUGAAGCCAUUUUAUUCAGGUCAUAUUUAUUGUUGAGUGGAAGCAAAAAUGAGUCAAGUAAUUGUCUCAAUGUCAUUUUAAUUCCAAAGUUACAAUAAAAUAAGUAAUGUAAAAAAAACUUAAAAUACCAGUACACAUUUUUCUACAGUGAUCCCAAUGUCAGCAGGGCAUGAACAUAUAUGGGGGGGAACAACAUUAAAACAUUAAUAAUUAAACAUUAGGCUCAAUAUACAAACCGAUCACAGCAGUCAAGCAGUUGUCACUCACUUUUAUAUUAAAAUAUCAGCACAACAAACUAGUUGUCCUUGGGGCUAUAAUGAUUGCCGUCACUGAUGAAGCAGUCUGCUGAGCAAUAGCCGUCAAACUCCUUCACUGCGUAAAACCCACGAAGGAUUCCCUUCUUUCCAUUUCCAAAGUAGCCUGGCGGGAAGUCUUUAAAGAAGUCCCCACACCAAAGGCAUUGCGUCAAUUUAUAUGACACCCGAUACAUCUCCUUGUGGUCACUGAUACUCCAGUUGACAACACCUAUUGUAAGAAAGAGAUUUAAAUUAUUAAAAGGUGCAAAGCUUAAUGCAUUUGCAGUUUUAAAAAAAAUUGUGUGUAGUGUAUAAAGGAAACCUGUCUACUUGUAAAAAUAUUUAAAAAAUAAAAUAAAAAAAAAACUUACUGUCAAGCCAGGCAAAAUGAGCCUUUUUCCUAAAUGAUGGCUCACCAACGACAUCAUGGAAAACCCGACAAGUCAGAGACAGUCUGAGGAUAGCCACAUCUCCAUCCUCAUUGACUCCAUCCAGCAGGCAUGACAGGGGAGGUACCUGUGUAAUGACAGGAGAAGUCUGUCCUGAAAAAAUAAGAAGCGGAGCAGUGGCUGCUGGGCUAUGCAGGAGUGGAGAUUGAGGUUCCUGGCCAGAAAUACCCAACUUUUGUUUACAUUUUUGUAGAUGAGUAAUGAACUGAACUUUUCUUAUUACUGUAGCAGGACAGUAACAGCAAUGGAAAUGUGCAUUUUCUCUACAGAGAAAAUUGCACUUAACAAUCACAAACUCUGGAAAAAAGUAACAAAAAGCACUUAUGCUCUGAUCAAAUUGUAUAAAUCAAAAUAAUAUUACUAGAGGUAAAAUUAUACUCACCAUCAUGAUGUACUGCCAAUUUUAUAUGAUUCUUCACAUGGUUAUCUAUGGAUUGUUGUGAUGUUGUUUUGUACCUCUCACAAAAAGGACAGUGGUACUGGUUACAGCACCGUGUGCACCUUGAAACUUCUGGGCAACUGCUCUUUUUAAAGACAUUUGUCUAGAACAAGACAAUAACAAAUAGUAAUCAUUAGCUGAUCAAAAUUAGGUUAAUCUUGCAUUAGCCCUGUAGCCUGUACACAUGGUAUUAUGUACUGAUAUAACGUUAUAAGAUUAAAAUGUGAAUCCAUGUGCGCAUCAUAAGAGUCAUUUCAGCUAAACACUAAGCGUCACGGGUUUACCGCUUCGGAUACAAAACAAUUCACCAGACUAUAAAUAUUGAAACAACAAAACAGUAAAUGAAGAUCCCAAAGAUUAAUUACCUACCGACAUACAAUAACUGUCGUUAAUCUGGUCAUCCGUGAAGAAUCCAAUGCUGCGUCCGAAAUCGCAUACUUCCCUACUAUAUAGUACGCGAAAAACAGUAUGCGAGGCGAGUAGUAUGUCCGAAUUCAUAGUAUUCGAAAUUCAGUAGGCGAGAAGUACCCGGAUGACCUACUGCUUCCGCCCGAAUUCUGUAGUACGCAUAUCAUGGACACUUUCCUAUCCCAUGAGGCUCCGGGAGAGGAGGCGUCAUAUUCGAAAAAUGGCGGAAAGUGGAGACGCGGCUCAUUUCAAUUGUAAGUACCUCAGGAAAAAACGUUGUUUAUUGUGAUUAAAUGACACUUGUUUAACACAAUCUAAAUAAACGGAUGACAUUGUAAAUCGAAACGUUAUUUGAUAAAUAAUCUAGAAGCUGUCUACGAAGACGUGAUCUGCCAGCAGCUGACCGACGCCUUCUCUGAGCUGUCUGUCCAAUCAACGUUAAAACGCCGAACAUUGCCGGUGCGGUGUUCGUGCAGUGGAGUCUCUUUAAAUUUUCGCGCUGUUGUGACGACGCAUGACACGUGAUAACAUCAAUAUGGCGGAUGUAGUACGUCCGAAUUCCAUUCAUACUACCCACAUUCAUACUAUAUAGAACGUACUUUUUAACGGUCGGGUAGUACGUUCAUAUUUAAAUGUAGUGCCUACUUAAGUAGUAUGCGAUUUCGGACGCAGCACAAGAGUCUUCUUCUUCUUCUUCUUCUUGUAUCAUUUAUUGGCGGUUGACAAGCCAACUUAUGGUGUAUUACCGCCACCAACUGGACUGGAUUGUGAAGCUUCGACGGGGGUUACAACAAAAAAAAAAAAAAAAAAAAAAAAAAAAAAAAACUAAA